RNAcentral lists this ribosomal RNA (344 nucleotides) under uncultured bacterium. Its description in RNAcentral is "partial 16S ribosomal RNA". It matches the Rfam family "Bacterial small subunit ribosomal RNA", at positions 338 to 699 of the family's 1533-position model. The record is from RNAcentral.
CCUACGGGUGGCAGCAGUGGGGAAUAUUGCACAAUGGGGGAAACCCUGAUGCAGCGAUGCCGCGUGAGUGAAGAAGUAAUUCGUUAUGUAAAGCUCUAUCAGCAGGGAAGAAAAUGACGGUACCUGAGUAAGAAGCCCCGGCUAACUACGUGCCAGCAGCCGCGGUAAUACGGAGGGGGCAAGCGUUAUCCGGAUUUACUGGGUGUAAAGGGAGCGUAGACGGCAGAGGAAGUCUGGAGUGAAAGGCGGGGGCUCAACCUCCGGACUGCUCUGGAAACUGUACGGCUGGAGAGCAGGUGAGGUAAGUGGAAUUCCUAGUGUAGCGGUGAAAUGCGUAGAGAUUA